RNA transcript from Apus apus (common swift), 6167 nucleotides. It is a transcript of the gene named 6-phosphofructo-2-kinase/fructose-2,6-biphosphatase 2, with no coding region annotated. NCBI's taxonomy places the organism in Eukaryota, Metazoa, Chordata, Aves, Apodiformes, Apodidae. The transcript is spliced from 15 exons. The record is from RefSeq and is a predicted model, not a curated record.
AGAGUGAUUUGCAUAUGAUUUGCAUGUGGCGCGGCGGCGCGGAGCCAUGUCGGCGGGAGCCCGGCACGGCGGGGCCCCGCGGGGCAGGGCCGGGGCCCGGCACGGCGGAGAGAAGCAGUGCUCCUGGGCUUCCUACAUGACCAACUCCCCGACACUGAUCGUGAUGAUCGGCCUGCCCGCCCGCGGCAAGACCUACGUGUCCAAGAAGCUCACCCGCUACCUCAACUGGAUCGGGGUGCCCACCAAAGUGUUUAAUUUAGGGGUGUAUCGCCGGGAAGCGGUGAAGUCCUACAAGUCCUACGACUUCUUCAGGCACGAUAACAAAGAAGCCAUGGAAAUCCGCAAACAAUGUGCCUUAGUGGCUCUAGAAGACGUGAAGGCUUAUCUCUUGGAGGAGUGCGGGCAGAUAGCUGUGUUUGAUGCGACCAACACAACUCGAGAAAGACGGGACUUGAUCUUAAGUUUUGCAAAGGAAAACGCUUUCAAGGUGUUUUUUGUGGAGUCCGUCUGUGAUGAUCCAGAAGUCAUUGCUGCCAAUAUCCUGGAGGUGAAAGUUUCCAGCCCCGACUACCCUGAGAGGAACAGGGAGAACGUGAUGGAUGAUUUCCUGAAGAGGAUUGAGUGCUACAAGGUCACUUACCAGCCUCUUGAUCCUGAUGUCUAUGACAAAGAUCUUUCCUUCAUUAAAGUGAUCAAUGUGGGACAGCGGUUCCUAGUAAACAGAGUCCAGGAUUACAUCCAGAGUAAAAUCGUCUAUUACCUAAUGAACAUUCAUGUCCAGCCACGCACCAUCUACCUUUGCCGACAUGGUGAGAGUGAAUAUAAUCUUGUUGGCAAGAUUGGUGGGGAUUCUGGUCUGUCACCACGUGGGAAGCAGUUUGCUCAGGCGCUGAAGAAGUUCAUCGAGGAGCAGGAAAUCGUAGAUCUGAAGGUGUGGACCAGCCAGCUGAAAAGGACGAUCCAGACGGCCGAGUCCCUGGGGGUCACCUACGAGCAGUGGAAGAUUCUCAACGAGAUUGAUGCUGGGGUAUGUGAAGAAAUGACCUAUGCAGAAAUUGAAGCCAAGUAUCCAGAUGAGUUUGCCUUGAGGGACCAAGAGAAAUACCUGUAUCGUUAUCCUGGAGGAGAGUCCUACCAGGACUUGGUCCAGCGCCUGGAGCCAGUAAUUAUGGAGCUAGAGCGGCAAGGCAACGUCCUGGUCAUCUCCCACCAGGCGGUUAUGAGGUGUCUGUUGGCUUAUUUUCUGGACAAGAAUGCAGAUGAGCUGCCCUACCUGCGCUGCCCCCUCCACACCAUCCUCAAGCUCACACCUGUUGCCUACGGUUGUAAAGUGGAGACCAUUACCCUGAACGUGGAAGCAGUGAACACCCACCGUGACAAACCCUCCCUGAACUCAGACAACUUUCCCACCAGCCAAACCCCUGUAAGGAUGAGAAGAAACAGCUUUACGCCGCGGGCCAGCGCGGACACGGUAAAGCGCCCACGACAUUACAGCCUUGGGAGCAAACCUCUCGACCCACUGGGACCUUUCCUGGCCCUGGAAGCUCGAGAUGGGGCCGACCAGCUGCAGCUACAAGUCGGUGUCCAGGUGGUACCUUCCCUAUGCCCUCCCUCCCCACCAUCACCUGUGGCUGUCUGGUGGUCCUCUCUGACACACAGACCCUUCCCAGGGCUUUAAUCACUAUCUCUGUUCCUGUGUGAAAAUCAUUCAGGAUUAUACCAACUUAAGAAAGGAAAAACCUCACAAAAACCUCCCCAAAAACUUCUGGUGCUAGAAGAUUUUAAAACUCAGGCUCCAUGCAGGCAGGUUUCCAUCAGUGCAACAAGGUUUUGGUAGGGUGACCAACUGGUUGAUAUGACCCACCAGUUGGUGGGUCAUAUCUUGCUUUCCAGCAAACCCCUGUCUGGAAAGAGUUACAAAUACCCUCUUUGUCCUUAUUUGGUGCUGCAGGGAAGUGUUGCUCUAACCCCAGAGCAACUGGGUUGGAAAUCUGUCCAUGGUUUUGUUGGUGCCCUUUUCCCCAUGUCAGCGGCUCAGUGGGCUCUUUGGGUGCCCAAAUUAAAGCAGUUUGGCUUUUGGUGCUUGGUGGUUUUAACCUUAGAAGCACGUAGGUCCUUAUCAGCACUGGAGGCAAAGCCCUGUUUGCUUUUUUGCUCAUUUAAAAUUGUUUCUCUGCUAAAUGAGUUUUUCUGUGCCUGGGGGAGCACAGCCGAGGGUGCUGCUGCCUGUCAGACCAGGCAGAGGGGAGAUGUGAGGGCUUGGCUGGGCUUCUUGUGCAGAAACAGCCAUCCUUGCCAAAGCUGUUUAAAGAUAAAAUGAUCUCAGAUUCUUAGGUAGUGGAUGUUUUCCAGGCUAUUCAGUGAGCCCAACUUCUUGUUCUCCUCCCUGUUAGCCAAGGAAGUGGCCAGAGAGUAAAGGAGGGGGCGAUGCAGCACAGCUGAACUCUGCUGCUGUUUCCAUGCUCAGUGAGGAACAUGAGACUUAAACAUUUCCAAAAUCCUGGUGCUCUGGAGGGAACUGAACCAGACCAGACUUUGCCCUGAGUGGGUUUGGCCCAAAGAGGGCCCUGACUGUCUCCAUGUCUGGAUUUGUGGGUGUCUCCAGCUGGGCAGCACAGGACAGGGAUCCCCACCCACUCCCUGUUAGCUGCUUUACCCUCUGGAAUCAUGAUGUUGAAGCACUGACAGCUCAGAAGGAGCAUUUAAUCCCUAGGGCUCUGGGUCUGUGCAGGGGGAGGGAAUGGUGCUGCCCUGGGACCUCUUGCCUGAAUGGAGUCCCUGAGAUGAGUGGCAGUGGAGGCUCAUGAUAGUCAGUGCCCUGUAUCAGCUCUGCUGUGACACAGACCUGCCCUGAGCUCCCCAGCGUGGCAUCGUGGGGUUGCUCCACUUCUCAUUUGCUUUGCUUCUUUUGCUGUUAUUCUUAAAUCUCCUUUAAAACGCACUAUGAGCUAUCCUGUGCUGUUUCUUUUUCCUUUGCAGCCUCAAGGGGGAAAUGCUUGCCUAGGAUGGCCACUCUAAUGGUGUAGAGGCUGGUGCUCUCAUCUGGGAUUUCCAAGCUGGGAAGAGCCCUGUGGACGGGACUCGAGCACCCUCGGAGCACAGUGAGCCACGCGCCCCUCAGCCAGUCCUCUCCUCUGAAAUGUGUUUUUAGGCUCUGUCUUUUCUUUCUGAAUGCUGAAAUGUCUGUCAAUGAGAUUAGAGAAAAUCGAUUAGGGAGAUUUUCCAACCUGCUUUUUUAGUACAUGUGAGCUGACAUAUCCCUUGUGUGGGCUUUGUGAGGUGUUAGUGUCCUGUGUCGUGGCAAAAUUAACUGCAGUGUCUGUGGGGACAAAAUGGUUAUCAGACCAAACCCCAGGUUUUUAUUUAACUGUUACCAUUUCCAAGUUCAAAUGCAGUUACUGUUAUUUAAGGAAAUAAAAGCUCCUAUGCUAGCAGCAGUGUAGCUGCCAGUGCUGUUGCACUUGAACUCAAGUCCUGCUUCAGCUUUGCACCCUCAUCUGAGCCUCAUCCUCAUGCUCGUUUUUCCUGGGUUUUGUGGAUGCUUUUAUCCAUGACAACAGAAACUCAGAGCAUGGCUUUGCUUAGUGUCUGGGAGUAGGGGGGCUGUGUGUGCAGGGCUUGCAAGAAGCAGAUGAUUUUUACCAGUUGUCUUUUUAAUGUGCCAAAUUUUAGGCCCCACAACAAGUUUUUAAACCUGCCUAGGAAUAAGCUGUGAAUGUUACUGAUGUAUAAUGCUGCCUUUUCAUAGAGUUUAAGCUGCUUUAGUAUUUAGUGCAUAGACAGUGAAACUCCUCUGCAGUGCAGCUCGUGCCAAGGUGUGGAAGCAAUACCCCAAAUUACUGGUUUUCUUCCCUCAGUCUUGACUGGUGUUUUGGCCAACUCCAUUUUACCACACUCCUCCUCCUCUUGCACUAAGGGCAUAAUGCUCAGGGUGGGUGAAGAAAUGGGUAAAGAAGCAGGAGACUGUUCUGGACCCACUGUUUCCAGUGACUCCAGGAAUGAUAUGAGCAACUUCUGAGAUCCAAGUUGCUUAUUUUAAACAUGCAAAUAAACGUUGGCCAUACCCUCAGUAGGGAUCUGUGCUUGAGAAACGUUGGCACCCUGACUGCAGAGGAGCUCAGCAGCCCCAAAGCCUGAGGUUUUUCUGGGGAUUUUGGGCUCAAACUCAGUUGUUUUAAACACUCCCAGAGCUUUAAUUUGAUGGAGAGGUCUGUGGGAAAUCCCAAGCCUUGAGGAUUUAUGUGGAGCAGGAGCAUGUGUUGACCUAAAGUAAUUGCACCACGGAGGGAGGAAAUAAAGUGGGUGAGAAACUGAGUUUUAUUAGUUUUGUUCCUCAGGCUGUUCCCACCAGGGAACAGAAAAAAAGAAGGGGUCAAAAAAAAAAAAGAAUGUUGAAGGAAGAGAUUUCUAGCCUGUUGUGUGGUGAUAGUGUCUGUCCCUCUCCAGCAACACUUCAAACGCACAAACCCAGCACGUCGGGCUGGCUGCUCCUGCUGAGGAACCUCCUGCUCUGCAGGGAAGCAGGAGUAGAAACCUCCUGUAGGAUGUUUACGCACAAUAUGCUGUGAUAACGUGCCAAGGUGUUAGUUACGUUUGUAUCAUUGAGUAGUUAACGGUUGUAAGGAGACAAAAUAUAUAUUUUUACCUGCCAGGAUUCAUGAAUGUAGCUCCUAAUGUGCUGUAAUGUUUUAACUCCCUGUGCCCAGUCAGUUCUGUGGUUCUGGAUCAUGGACAAUGGGUCCUUGUUCCUGCUGAGUGGGUCCUGGGAUGGAGCCUCUCUGCAGAAGGCAGCAUGUGUGCCUUGGUUCUUUAAUUAAAGCCUAGCUGGAGCCUUUUCAUCCCACGCUUUGUCGUUCAGAAGGUGUGAACGCGUGUCCAGAGCAGCAGCAGGUUUUGCCAUCAGCAUCAUUUCCCCACAGGUGGAUCAUACCUGACAUUCAGGUCCCGGGGUCCUGCCAAGCUCUCAGGGAGGCCAGGCUGGGGAUGCCAGCAAGCUCACAGAUCUCCCCAGCCUCAAACGGGUCCCUGUGCCAGGUAUUUCCUUGAAAUCACCUGAUUUCCUUGGCAUGGUGUGUGCAAAUGCCCCAGAAUAAACAACGAUUGCACAACGCACUGAGCUGAGGCUCCGCAGCAGCUCGUGCUGCCCGUCAGGCUGGAGCCACCAUCAUAGAAUCACAGGAUCUUAGGGGUUGGAAGGGACCUGGAAAGAUUAUCCAGUCCAACCCCCCUGCCAGAGCAGGAUCACCCACAGCACAUCACACAGGAAUGUGUUCAGUUGGGUUUGAAUGUCCCCGGCCAAGGAGACUCCACAACCUCUCUGGGCAGCCUGUCCAGGGCUCUGUCACCCUCACAGUGAAGAAGUUUUUUGGGCUGGGCAGGCAGAGGGGGGUUUGGAGGUGGGGAACUGGGUGUUUGGGAGUAUUGCACCACCAGUGGGGUUGUGUUUUGUUUUUUUUUAACUUUCCUGGCAUUCUCUCCAUUUCUGCUGGCAGAAGUGGUGGUGGCUGCUGUCACCUUCUCGGAGCAGUGGCAAGGCCACCUACAGGACCUGCCUUGCUGUCCCUGAGCUGCCGUCCAGGGGCUGGUUCCCCAUCGGUGCUGUGGGUCAUUUUAGAGAAAAAUGAUCACUCAGGCAAAGCCUGUUCAGUCUCUGUUGCCAGCAAUAGGGGGAAAUUGGCAAGGGAGGGAAAAGGUUUAAAACCAGGCCAGGUAGUUUGAGUUUGUGUACAUGGAGCGUGACGUUAGAGCUGCCACCUCUGUGUCCCUUCCUGGCAAGGGGGUGAUGAGGAAGCCAAGCCCUCAGCUGUGGCUGAGGAGCAGCUUUGGGAGGACAGACAUCACCACCAGCACUUCCAGGAACCGCCUGCCCUGGGAGGAAGGCUCAAACCAUCUUCCCAAGGGUGCUGGGCCAGUGCCACCUCCACCUCUCCUGCAGCUCCUUUUUCUCUCUGAACGCUGUUUGCAAACUGCAUCCCUCCAGUUAGUGUUUACUGAGGUGGAUAUUAAGGUCUACUUGUAAUUUUGCUCUGUUACUGCCUUAUUUUUUUUUUUUAGGUUUAAAAGAAAAUGCAAUGUUUGUAAACUUGUGCUGUGUGUUGUGUCCUCUGUGCACUUGAGCAUAAAUAUCCCAUCAGCAUUUAUUUACAAUAAAGAGAUUUAAAAACAUA